Molecule: ribosomal RNA, 252 nt
Filed under: uncultured bacterium
Lineage: Bacteria
Description: partial 16S ribosomal RNA
Rfam family: Bacterial small subunit ribosomal RNA
Source: RNAcentral
UACAGAGGUCUCAAGCGUUGUUCGGAUUCAUUGGGCGUAAAGGGUGUGUAGGUGGCGCCGUAAGUCGGGUGUGAAAUUUCGGAGCUUAACUCCGAAACUGCAUUCGAUACUGCGUGCUUGAGGACUGGAGAGGAGACUGGAAUUCAUGGUGUAGCAGUGAAAUGCGUAGAGAUCAUGAGGAAGACCAGUGGCGAAGGCGGGUCUCUGGACAGUUCCUGACACUGAGGCACGAAGGCCAGGGGAGCAAACGGG